UACGGAGGGUGCAAGCGUUAUCCGGAUUCACUGGGUUUAAAGGGUGCGUAGGAGGGCAGGUAAGUCAGUGGUGAAAUCUUUGGGCUUAACCCGAAAACUGCCAUUGAUACUAUCUGUCUUGAAUGCGGUGGAGGUGAGCGGAAUAUGUCAUGUAGCGGUGAAAUGCUUAGAUAUGACAUAGAACACCGAUAGCGAAGGCAGCUCGCUACACCUGCAUUGACUCUGAGGCACGAAAGCGUGGGGAUCAAACAGG
RNAcentral lists this ribosomal RNA (253 nucleotides) under uncultured bacterium. RNAcentral's name for it is "partial 16S ribosomal RNA". It matches the Rfam family "Bacterial small subunit ribosomal RNA", at positions 524 to 776 of the family's 1533-position model. The record is from RNAcentral.